UCUACGGGCGGCUGCAGUGAGGAAUAUUGGUCAAUGGGCGCGAGCCUGAACCAGCCAAGUCGCGUGAGGGAAGACGGUCCUAUGGAUUGUAAACCUCUUUUGUCGGGGAGCAAAAGACGCCACGCGUGGCGUUCCGAGAGUACCCGAAGAAAAAGCAUCGGCUAACUCCGUGCCAGCAGCCGCGGUAAUACGUAGGAGGCAAGCGUUAUCCGGAAUGACUGGGCGUAAAGGGUGCGUAGGUGGUUUGACAAGUUGGUAGCGUAACUCCGGAGCUCAACUUCGGAACUACUACCAAAACUGUUGGACUCGAGUGCAGGAGGGGCAACUGGAAUUUCUAGUGUAGCGGUGGAAUGCGUAGAUAUUAGGAAGAACACCGGUGGCGAAGGCGAGUUGCUGGACUGUAACUGACACUGAGGCACGAAAGCGUGGGGAGCAAACAGGAUUAGAUACCCCUGUAGUC
Molecule: ribosomal RNA, 460 nt
Filed under: uncultured bacterium
Lineage: Bacteria
Description: partial 16S ribosomal RNA
Rfam family: Bacterial small subunit ribosomal RNA
Source: RNAcentral